UAUUUACUCACUAAAAAUAUUUUUACUCAAAAAUUGUCUUGAAAAUUCUAUUCAGAUUAUUUUAAUCAUGUGUCAAAUUCAUGUGCAUGGCAUAAGUAGAAAAAUCAGGAUUGUUAUUUUUGGUGAAAGGAAUUGUCUUUUUUAUAAAUAUUUAUUUUUGAACUCUCAAGCAUCAAUUCAAACAAUAUGAGUAUGUAUCAGUCAGUUUUGUGUGUGUGUAUGUCUGCUCUGUUAUCUGUUUGUUAAGUCUCUUCAUUUAAAAAAAAUAUUUAUCAUUUUUGAAUACAUAGGCAAACUGACUAUUUAUGAAUUCUACUCCUUCAAAACUAUAUGGGUUAUUUCCCCUUAAAGAGAACUUUUCAGACAUUACUAAAUAUUCAUUGAGUUUUAAUAGCAUUCACAACUUUAAGGCAUGUUAUUGCUUAACAUGGGAUUGCUUGCUUAUGAAUCAUGAAUUGGCCAUUUCAUUGAAAAUGAGAAAAAUUGUAAAUAUCCCUUUAGAUUACUAUUGUCAUGUGACUCUAGAAUACUAUUGUCAUGUGACUUUAGAUUACUAUUGUCAUGUGACUUAAUUCCUGGAAGAUGACCAUUCCCUAGUAUUAAACUGCUCAGAUUGGCAUGGCUUAUUUGUUUAGACAAGGACUUUUGUCUGCAUUGCAUGAUUGUAUAACAAUGGUGUCUGUUUCAAAAAAAAUUGUGGAACAUAUUUAAAUGUUCAAGUUUUAAAAAACCCAACAAUUUGCUAACAUAAGGUGAUUUUACCUAGUAAUGUCACACUCAUUCAUAGUUAGUGCAUGCAAAACAUUAUUCUGCUAACAAAAUUACACCUCUAACCCGCAAAAACAUUUGCCAUUAAAAGCAUGGAGCAUUAUUUUUAUUAAUUACAUAUUCAAAUUUGUAUGAAAUUUUUCAGUAAUGUAAAGCUAAGAUUUAUCAUCUUAACCAAUUGUUUAAUUGACAUAAGUGUCAAUACAGACAUAAGUCUUUCUCUAUCCAAUCAGAUUAGGUGUUACAAAUUUGUAUGCUAACACUGAUCAUGCUUUGGAUCACAUGCUUAGAAGUAAGGGAGAUCACUCAUUGCAUCAUUUAAACAAAUUAAUACCUCAGUGGGACUUUUUUAGAGUGUAUAAGAUUAAGGAGAUGAAGCAACACAUUACCCAUUUGUCUUUCAAACUAAAAAAAGGUGAAUACAAAUCAUUUAAUCAUUUUUUUAGGGGACACAUGCUAGAAAGAAGCAUGUUUUGUUGUUAUCAUUUAAUAUUAAUGACAUCAUUUAGACUGAAUGAUUUAUAAUAUACUGUGAAGAGUUACAACACUGUGUUAUAAUUGUCCAAAGUUCCAUUUAUUUAUGUUACAACUCCCCCCUAGUUUACUGAUAUAGGUACACUUUUCUUGAAGUCGAUCUUCAUAGAGAAAUAACUUUUUUUCUGUGUCUCUAAACUUUAGACUUGUGCUUUGCUAUUUUUGUGUUCACUGUAAAAAUCUAGUGCUCUAGUUUUAAUUGUACAUAAAUUGCCAGUUAUAAACACUUAUUUAUAUCAUAAUCAUUUGUAUAUAUCAUUAUUGACCAG
Molecule: long non-coding RNA, 1571 nt
Filed under: Mytilus galloprovincialis (Mediterranean mussel)
Lineage: Eukaryota; Metazoa; Mollusca; Bivalvia; Mytilida; Mytilidae
Source: RNAcentral